RNAcentral lists this ribosomal RNA (430 nucleotides) under uncultured bacterium. Its description in RNAcentral is "partial 16S ribosomal RNA". It matches the Rfam family "Bacterial small subunit ribosomal RNA", at positions 29 to 506 of the family's 1533-position model. The record is from RNAcentral.
AACGAACGCUGGCGGCAGGCUUAACACAUGCAAGUCGAGCGCCCCGCAAGGGGAGCGGCAGACGGGUGAGUAACGCGUGGGAACGUACCUUUUGGUUCGGAACAACUCCGGGAAACUGGAGCUAAUACCGGAUAAGCCCUAACGGGGAAAGAUUUAUCGCCGAAAGAUCGGCCCGCGUCUGAUUAGCUAGUUGGUGAGGUAACGGCUCACCAAGGCGACGAUCAGUAGCUGGUCUGAGAGGAUGAUCAGCCACACUGGGACUGAGACACGGCCCAGACUCCUUCCGGGGGGCGGAGGUGGGAAUAUUGGACAAUGGGCGCAAGCCUGAUCCAGCCAUGCCGCGUGAGUGAUGAAGGCCUUAGGGUUGUAAAGCUCUUUUGUCCGGGAAGAUAAUGACUGUACCGGAAGAAUAAACCCCGGCUAACUUCGU